UACGUAGGGUGCAAGCGUUGUCCGGAUUUGUUGGGCGUAAAGAGCGUGUAGGCGGUCAGGUAGGUCCGUUGUGAAAACUCGAGGCUCAACCUCGAGACGCCGAUGGAAACCAUCUGACUAGAGUCCGGAAGAGGAGAGUGGAAUUCCUGGUGUAGCGGUGAAAUGCGCAGAUAUCAGGAAGAACACCCGUGGCUAAGGCGGCUCUCUAGUACGGUACUGACGCUGAGACGCGAAAGCGUGGGGAGCGAACAGG
Molecule: ribosomal RNA, 253 nt
Filed under: uncultured bacterium
Lineage: Bacteria
Description: partial 16S ribosomal RNA
Rfam family: Bacterial small subunit ribosomal RNA
Source: RNAcentral